This 464-nucleotide ribosomal RNA is filed under the name uncultured bacterium. Its description in RNAcentral is "partial 16S ribosomal RNA". It matches the Rfam family "Bacterial small subunit ribosomal RNA", at positions 339 to 795 of the family's 1533-position model. The record is from RNAcentral.
CUACGGGCGGCUGCAGUGGGGAAUAUUGCACAAUGGGCGCAAGCCUGAUGCAGCCAUGCCGCGUGUAUGAAGAAGGCCUUCGGGUUGUAAAGUACUUUCAGCGGGGAGGAAGGGAGUAAAGUUAAUACCUUUGCUCAUUGACGUUACCCGCAGAAGAAGCACCGGCUAACUCCGUGCCAGCAGCCGCGGUAAUACGGAGGGUGCAAGCGUUAAUCGGAAUUACUGGGCGUAAAGCGCACGCAGGCGGUUUGUUAAGUCAGAUGUGAAAUCCCCGGGCUCAACCUGGGAACUGCAUCUGAUACUGGCAAGCUUGAGUCUCGUAGAGGGGGGUAGAAUUCCAGGCGUAGCGGUGAAAUGCGUAGAGAUCUGGAGGAAUACCGGUGGCGAAGGCGGCCCCCUGGACGAAGACUGACGCUCAGGUGCGAAAGCGUGGGGAGCAAACAGGAUUAGAUACCCCGGUAGUC